AUUAAAAACCAAUGCCCUUCGGGGCUCUCUGGUGAUUCAUAAUAACUUCUCGAAUCGCACGGCCUUGCGCCGGCGAUGGUUCAUUCAAAUUUCUGCCCUAUCAACUUUCGACGGCUGGGUCUUGGCCAGCCGUGGUGACAACGGGUAACGGAGGGUUAGGGCUCGACCCCGGAGAAGGAGCCUGAGAAACGGCUACUACAUCCAAGGAAGGCAGCAGGCGCGCAAAUUACCCAAUCCCGACACGGGGAGGUAGUGACAAUAAAUACUGAUACAGGGCUCUUUCGGGUCUUGUAAUUGGAAUGAGUACAAUUUAAAUCCCUUAACGAGGAACAAUUGGAGGGCAAGUCUGGUGCCAGCAGCCGCGGUAAUUCCAGCUCCAAUAGCGUAUAUUAAAGUUGUUGAGGUUAAAAAGCUCGUAGUUGAACCUUGGGCCUAGCGGGCCGGUCCGCCUCACCGCGUGCACUGGCUCGGCUGGGUCUUUCCUUCUGGAGAACCGCAUGCCCUUCACUGGGUGUGCC
RNAcentral lists this ribosomal RNA (518 nucleotides) under uncultured fungus. RNAcentral describes it as "SSU rRNA". It matches the Rfam family "Eukaryotic small subunit ribosomal RNA", at positions 214 to 732 of the family's 1831-position model. The record is from RNAcentral. Lineage: Eukaryota; Fungi.